GAUGAACGCUGGCGGCGUGCCUAAUACAUGCAAGUCGAGCGAAGCGGGGACGGGUGAGUAACACGUGGAUAACCUCCUAUAAGACUGGGAUAACUUCUGGAAACCGGAGCUAAACCGGAUACUUAUAUAUGGAUCCGCGUUGCAUUAGCUAGUUGGGAAGGUAACGGCUUACCAAGGCAACGAUGAAUAGCCGACCUGAGAGGGGGAUCGGCCAAACUGGAACCGAGACACGGUCCAGACUCUUACGGGAGGAAGCAGUAGGGAAUCUUCCAAAAUGGACGAAAGUCUGAUGGAGCAACGCCGCGGGAGUGAAGAAGGUUUUCGGAUCGUAAAGCUCUGUUGUUGGGGAAGCGGUAAUCAACCAGAAAGUCACGGCUAACUACGUGCCAGCCGCCGCGGUAAUUC
This 405-nucleotide ribosomal RNA is filed under the name uncultured bacterium. Its description in RNAcentral is "partial 16S ribosomal RNA". It matches the Rfam family "Bacterial small subunit ribosomal RNA", at positions 28 to 526 of the family's 1533-position model. The record is from RNAcentral.